AUACGGAGGAUCCGAGCGUUAUCCGGAUUUAUUGGGUUUAAAGGGUGCGCAGGCGGCCAUUUAAGUCAGCGGUUAAAUCGUGGGGCUCAACCCCAUUCUGCCGUUGAUACUGGGUGGCUUGAUUGCGGUCGAGGUGGGCGGAACGUGGCGUGUAGCGGUGAAAUGCGUAGAUAUGCCACAGAACGCCGAUAGCGGAGGCAGCUCGCCAGGCCUGCAUUGACGCUCGGGAACGAAAGCGUGGGGAUCGAACAGGAUUAGAUCCCCUGGUAGUCCACGCCGUAAACGAUGGGCGCUCGUCGUCGGCGGCAGACAGUCGGCGGCCAAGCGAAAGCGAUAAGCGCCCCACCUGGAGAGUACGGUCGCAAGGCUGAAACUCAAAUGAAUUGGCGGGG
This 392-nucleotide ribosomal RNA is filed under the name uncultured bacterium. RNAcentral describes it as "partial 16S ribosomal RNA". It matches the Rfam family "Bacterial small subunit ribosomal RNA", at positions 523 to 918 of the family's 1533-position model. The record is from RNAcentral.